GGACCAUAUCACAUUGAAGCUACUAAUUCCCAUAUGAUCACUGAAGUUAAGCAACAUUGAACCUGGUCAGUACCUAGAUGGGUGACUGCUUGGAUAUACCAGCUGCUGUAAG
Non-coding RNA from Acanthosepion pharaonis, 112 nucleotides. The record is from the annotation of a GenBank genome assembly. NCBI's taxonomy places the organism in Eukaryota, Metazoa, Mollusca, Cephalopoda, Sepiida, Sepiidae.